Molecule: ribosomal RNA, 460 nt
Filed under: uncultured bacterium
Lineage: Bacteria
Description: bacterial SSU rRNA
Rfam family: Bacterial small subunit ribosomal RNA
Source: RNAcentral
AGGAGGCAGCAGUGGGGAAUUUUGGACAAUGGGGGCAACCCUGAUCCAGCCAUGCCGCGUGAGUGAAGAAGGCCUUCGGGUUAUAAAGCUCUUUCGGUGGGAACGAAACGGUUACAGCUAAUACCUGUGACUAAUGACGGUACUCACACAAGAAGCACCGGCUAACUACGUGCCAGCAGCCGCGGUAAUACGUAGGGUGCGAGCGUUAAUCGGAAUUACUGGGCGUAAAGCGUGCGCAGGCGGUUACCUAAGUCAGGUGUGAAAGCCCUGGGCUUAACCUAGGAAUUGCGCUUGAGACUGGGUAGCUUGGAGUGUGGCAGAGGGAGGUGGAAUUCCACGUGUAGCAGUGAAAUGCGUAGAGAUGUGGAGGAACACCGAUGGCGAAGGCAGCCUCCUGGGCCAGCACUGACGCUCAUGCACGAAAGCGUGGGGAGCAAACAGGAUUAGAUACCCUGGUAGG